AGAGUUAUCCUGGCUUAGGACGAACGCUGGCGGCGUGCCUAACACAUGCAAGUCGAGCGAGGAGAUCCUUCGGGAUGAUCCUAGCGGCGGACGGGUGAGUAACACGUGGGCAACCUGCCUCAUAGAGAGGAAUAGCCUUCCGAAAGGGAGAUUAAUACCUCAUAACAUUGCAGUUUCGCAUGGAACAGCAAUUAAAGGAGUAAUCCGCUAUGAGAUGGGCCCGCGGCGCAUUAGCUAGUUGGUGAGGUAACGGCUCACCAAGGCGACGAUGCGUAGCCGACCUGAGAGGGUGAUCGGCCACAUUGGGACUGAGACACGGCCCAGACUCCUACGGGAGGCAGCAGUGGGGAAUAUUGCACAAUGGGGGAAACCCUGAUGCAAGCAACGCCGCGUGAGUGAUGACGGCCUUCGGGUUGUAAAGCUCUGUCUUCAGGGACGAUAAUGACGGUACCUGAGGAGGAAGCCACGGCUAACUACGUGCCAGCCGCAGC
RNAcentral lists this ribosomal RNA (491 nucleotides) under uncultured bacterium. RNAcentral describes it as "bacterial SSU rRNA". It matches the Rfam family "Bacterial small subunit ribosomal RNA", at positions 8 to 518 of the family's 1533-position model. The record is from RNAcentral.